UAGUCCACGCCGUAAACGAUGUGCACUAGGUCGAGGACGUUCUGACGCGAUUCUCGGCCGAAGCGAAAGUGUUAAGUGCACCGCCUGGGGAGUACGGUCGCAAGGCUAAAACUCAAAGGAAUUGACGGGGGCUCACACAAGCGGUGGAGCAUGUGGCUUAAUUCGAAGCAACGCGAAGAACCUUAUCCUGGGUUUGACAUGUAUGGAUUAACUCUGUGAAAGCAGAGCCACGCCUUCGGGUGGAACAUACACAGGUGCUGCAUGGCUGUCGUCAGCUCGUGCUGUGAAGUGUCGGGUUAAGUCCCUUAACGAGCGAAACCCCUGUCGUUAGUUGCUAGCAGGUAAUGCUGAGGACUCUAACGAGACUGCCGGCGUCAAGUCGGAGGAAGGUGGGGAUGACGUCAAGUCCGCAUGGCCUUUAUGCCCAGGGCUGCACACGUGCUACAAUGGUCGGUACAGAGCGACGCGAGACCGCGAGGUGGAGCAAAUCGCAAAAAGCCC
This 501-nucleotide ribosomal RNA is filed under the name uncultured bacterium. Its description in RNAcentral is "bacterial SSU rRNA". It matches the Rfam family "Bacterial small subunit ribosomal RNA", at positions 791 to 1284 of the family's 1533-position model. The record is from RNAcentral.